RNAcentral lists this ribosomal RNA (460 nucleotides) under uncultured bacterium. RNAcentral's name for it is "partial 16S ribosomal RNA". It matches the Rfam family "Bacterial small subunit ribosomal RNA", at positions 338 to 795 of the family's 1533-position model. The record is from RNAcentral.
UCUACGGGAGGCAGCAGUGAGGAAUAUUGGUCAAUGGGCGCGAGCCUGAACCAGCCAAGUAGCGUGAAGGAUGACUGCCCUACGGGUUGUAAACUUCUUUUAUAAAGGAAUAUAGUGAGUCACGUGUGCCUUUUUGUAUGUACUUUAUGAAUAAGGAUAGGCUAACUCCGUGCCAGCAGCCGCGGUAAUACGGAGGAACCGAGCGUUCUCCGGAUGUAUUGGGGUUAAAGGGAGCGGAGAUGGGUUGUUAAGUCAGGUGUGAAAGUUUGCGGCUCAACCGUAAAAUUGCAAUUGAUACUGGAAGUCUUGAGUACAGUUGAGGUAGGCGGAAUUCGUGGUGUAGCGGUGAAAUGAUUAGAUAUCACGAAGAACGCCGAUUGCGAAGGCAGCUUACUAAACUGCCACUGACAUUGAUGCUCGAAAGUGUGGGUAUCAAACAGGAUUAGAUACCCCGGUAGUC